RNAcentral lists this ribosomal RNA (144 nucleotides) under Triticum aestivum (bread wheat). RNAcentral describes it as "partial small subunit ribosomal RNA". Lineage: Eukaryota; Viridiplantae; Streptophyta; Magnoliopsida; Poales; Poaceae. The record is from RNAcentral.
CAUAAGCAUCGACGGACACGUCCGUGUCGAUCAAAAACUGCUAAUUCGUAUAAAGCCAUUGAGCCAAUCCAACCAGAAACUAGAGCUGUGUAUAUUAUAUGCACCGCAAGCAAUCGACCCGAAUCAUUCAAUACGACAAUAUGA